UACGGAGGAUGCAAGCGUUAUCCGGAAUGAUUGGGCGUAAAGCGUCCGCAGGUGGCUGUGUAAGUCUGCUGUCAAAGAGCAAAGCUCAACUUUGUAAAGGCAGUGGAAACUACACGGCUAGAGUGCGUUCGGGGCAGAGGGAAUUCCUGGUGUAGCGGUGAAAUGCGUAGAGAUCAGGAAGAACACCGGUGGUGAAGGCGCUCUGCUAGGCCGCAACUGACACUGAGGGACGAAAGCUAGGGGGGCGAAUGGG
RNAcentral lists this ribosomal RNA (253 nucleotides) under uncultured bacterium. RNAcentral's name for it is "partial 16S ribosomal RNA". It matches the Rfam family "Bacterial small subunit ribosomal RNA", at positions 524 to 776 of the family's 1533-position model. The record is from RNAcentral.